RNAcentral lists this ribosomal RNA (496 nucleotides) under uncultured bacterium. RNAcentral's name for it is "partial 16S ribosomal RNA". It matches the Rfam family "Bacterial small subunit ribosomal RNA", at positions 29 to 507 of the family's 1533-position model. The record is from RNAcentral.
AUGAACGCUGGCGGCGUGCCUAAUACAUGCAAGUCGAGCGAACAGACGAGGAGCUUGCUCCUCUGACGUUAGCGGCGGACGGGUGAGUAACACGUGGAUAACCUACCUAUAAGACUGGGAUAACUUCGGGAAACCGGAGCUAAUACCGGAUAAUAUAUUUAACCGCAUGGUUCAAUAGUGAAGGACGGUUUUGCUGUCACUUAUAGAUGGAUCCGCGCCGCAUUAGCUAGUUGGUAAGGUAACGGCUUACCAAGGCGACGAUGCGUAGCCGACCUGAGAGGGUGAUCGGCCACACUGGAACUGAGACACGGUCCAGACUCCUACGGGAGGCAGCAGUAGGGAAUCUUCCGCAAUGGGCGAAAGCCUGACGGAGCAACGCCGCGUGAGUGAUGAAGGUCUUCGGAUCGUAAAACUCUGUUAUUAGGGAAGAACAAAUGUGUAAGUAACUAUGCACGUCUUGACGGUACCUAGUCAGAAAGCCACGGCUAACUACGUG